Picea glauca (white spruce) is the source of this 128-nucleotide non-coding RNA. The record is from Rfam. NCBI's taxonomy places the organism in Eukaryota, Viridiplantae, Streptophyta, Pinopsida, Pinales, Pinaceae.
CAUUAUGUACAUGCCUACAACAUAGCAUUAAUGCAUUGGAUCCCAUUAGAACUCCACAGUUAAGCACGUUCGGUCUAGAGUAGUAUUGGGAUGGGUGACCGCUCAGGAAGUACUAGUAUUUUAAAUGC